CACGCCGUAAACGAUGAGUGAUAAGUGUUGGAGGGUUUCCGCCCUUCAGUGCUGCAGCAAACGCAUUAAGCACUCCGCCUGGGGAGUACGACCGCAAGGUUGAAACUCAAAGGAAUUGACGGGGGCCCGCACAAGCGGUGGAGCAUGUGGUUUAAUUCGAAGCAACGCGAAGAACCUUACCAUGUCUUGACAUCCUUUGACCACUCUAGAGAUAGAGCUUUCCCUUCGGGGACAAAGUGACAGGUGGUGCAUGGUUGUCGUCAGCUCGUGUCGUGAGAUGUUGGGUUAAGUCCCGCAACGAGCGCAACCCUUAUUGUUAGUUGCCAUCAUUUAGUUGGGCACUCUAGCGAGACUGCCGGUGACAAACCGGAGGAAGGUGGGGAUGACGUCAAAUCAUCAUGCCCCUUAUGACCUGGG
RNAcentral lists this ribosomal RNA (417 nucleotides) under Enterococcus faecalis. RNAcentral's name for it is "bacterial SSU rRNA". It matches the Rfam family "Bacterial small subunit ribosomal RNA", at positions 796 to 1213 of the family's 1533-position model. Lineage: Bacteria; Bacillati; Bacillota; Bacilli; Lactobacillales; Enterococcaceae. The record is from RNAcentral.